CAAUAGCGUAUAUUUAAGUUGUUGCAGUUAAAAAGCUCGUAGUUGGAUUUCGGGUGGGACGCAGCGGUCUCGCAUUGCGUUUGUACUGCUGCAGCCCUCCUUCUUGCCGGGGGCGGCCUCUCGGACUUCACUGUCUGGGGGUCAGAAUCGGCGAUGUUACUUUGAGUAAAUUAGAGUGUUCAAAGCAAGCUUACGCUCUGAAUAUAAUAGCAUGGGAUAACACGACAGGACUCUGGCCUAUCGUGUUGGUCUAUAGGACCAGAGUAAUGAUUAAGAGGGACAGUCGGGGGCAUUCGUAUUCCGUUGUCAGAGGUGAAAUUCUUGGAUUUACGGAAGACGAACAUCUGCGAAAGCAUUUACCAAGGAUGUUUUCAUUAA
This 378-nucleotide ribosomal RNA is filed under the name uncultured eukaryote. RNAcentral's name for it is "partial 18S ribosomal RNA". It matches the Rfam family "Eukaryotic small subunit ribosomal RNA", at positions 592 to 976 of the family's 1831-position model. The record is from RNAcentral.